UACGGGAGGCAGCAGUGGGGAAUAUUGCACAAUGGGCGCAAGCCUGAUGCAGCCAUGCCGCGUGUAUGAAGAAGGCCUUCGGGUUGUAAAGUACUUUCAGUCGUGAGGAAGGUGUUAAGGUUAAUAACCUUAGCAAUUGACGUUAGCGACAGAAGAAGCACCGGCUAACUCCGUGCCAGCAGCCGCGGUAAUACGGAGGGUGCGAGCGUUAAUCGGAAUUACUGGGCGUAAAGGGCACGCAGGCGGUUAAUUAAGUUGGAUGUGAAAUCCCCGGGCUUAACCUGGGAAUGGCAUUCAAGACUGGUUAGCUAGAGUCUUGUAGAGGGGGUAGAAUUCCAUGUGUAGCGGUGAAAUGCGUAGAGAUGUGGAGGAAUACCGGUGGCGAAGGCGGCCCCUGGACAAAGACUGACGCUCAUGUGCGAAAGCGUGGGGAGCAAACAGGGAUUAGAU
This 450-nucleotide ribosomal RNA is filed under the name uncultured bacterium. RNAcentral's name for it is "bacterial SSU rRNA". It matches the Rfam family "Bacterial small subunit ribosomal RNA", at positions 340 to 783 of the family's 1533-position model. The record is from RNAcentral.